CAACGACUCUCGACAACGGAUAUCUCGGCUCUCGCAUCGAUGAAGAACGUAGCGAAAUGCGAUACUUGGUGUGAAUUGCAGAAUCCCGUGAACCAUCGAGUCUUUGAACGCAAGUUGCGCCCGAAGCCCUUAGGCUGAGGGCACGUCUGCCUGGGUGUCACGC
Molecule: ribosomal RNA, 163 nt
Filed under: Kitagawia praeruptora
Lineage: Eukaryota; Viridiplantae; Streptophyta; Magnoliopsida; Apiales; Apiaceae
Description: Peucedanum praeruptorum 5.8S ribosomal RNA
Rfam family: 5.8S ribosomal RNA
About the family: 5.8S ribosomal RNA (5.8S rRNA) is a component of the large subunit of the eukaryotic ribosome. It is transcribed by RNA polymerase I as part of the 45S precursor that also contains 18S and 28S rRNA.
Source: RNAcentral